UACGGAGGGAGCUAGCGUUGUUCGGAAUUACUGGGCGUAAAGCGCGCGUAGGCGGCUUUGUAAGUUAGAGGUGAAAGCCUGGAGCUCAACUCCAGAAUUGCCUUUAAGACUGCAUCGCUAGAAUCCAGGAGAGGUGAGUGGAAUUCCGAGUGUAGAGGUGAAAUUCGUAGAUAUUCGGAAGAACACCAGUGGCGAAGGCGGCUCACUGGACUGGUAUUGACGCUGAGGUGCGAAAGCGUGGGGAGCGAACAGG
This 253-nucleotide ribosomal RNA is filed under the name uncultured bacterium. Its description in RNAcentral is "partial 16S ribosomal RNA". It matches the Rfam family "Bacterial small subunit ribosomal RNA", at positions 524 to 776 of the family's 1533-position model. The record is from RNAcentral.